RNAcentral lists this ribosomal RNA (172 nucleotides) under uncultured bacterium. RNAcentral's name for it is "partial 16S ribosomal RNA". It matches the Rfam family "Bacterial small subunit ribosomal RNA", at positions 1328 to 1500 of the family's 1533-position model. The record is from RNAcentral.
GGAAUCGCUAGUAAUCGCAGAUCAGAAUGCUGCGGUGAAUACGUUCCCGGGCCUUGUACACACCGCCCGUCACACCAUGGGAGUUUGUAACACCCGAAGUCAGUAUCCUAACCGCAAGGGGGAGCUGCCGAAGGUGGGAUAAGCGACUGGGGUGAAGUCGUAACAAGGUAAC